AACGCGAAGAACCUUACCAGGCCUUGACAUGCCCUCUAUGGGGAUCAGAAACGAUCCCCUUCACCUCGGGUGGGAGGAGCACAGGUGCUGCAUGGCUGUCGUCAGCUCGUGUCGUGAGAUGUUGGGUUAAGUCCCGCAACGAGCGCAACCCUCGUCCUAUGUUGCCAGCGGGUAAUGCCGGGGACUCAUAGGAGACUGCCGGGGUCAACUCGGAGGAAGGUGGGGAUGACGUCAAGUCCUCAUGCCCCUUAUGUCUUGGGCUGCAAACAUGCUACAAUGGCCGGUACAAGGGUUGCGAGACCGCAAGGUGGAGCGAAUCCCAAAAAGCCGGUCUCAGUUCGGAUUGGGGUCUGCAACUCGACCCCAUGAAGUCGGAGUCGCUAGUAAUCGCGAAUCAGCAACGUCGCGGUGAAUACGUUCCCGGGCCUUGUACACACCGCGUGUCU
This 446-nucleotide ribosomal RNA is filed under the name uncultured bacterium. RNAcentral describes it as "bacterial SSU rRNA". It matches the Rfam family "Bacterial small subunit ribosomal RNA", at positions 958 to 1399 of the family's 1533-position model. The record is from RNAcentral.